GGUCACCAUCUCAAGGUGACAUUUGGAUCUUACUGCCCACCCAAGAAGGACGGCUAUCUGCUGGCGACCUCACCCAGAAAGUCUAGCCAUCAGAAGGUCAACGAGUGUAUCUCACAUGCCGUUAUAAGCUGCUGCUGCCGUCCCACUCGUCGAUGCGUGGAGGCAUGUCUGCCAUCAUCUGCCGUUCCAAUAGCUCUCGCCAGUGUUGCGUUGGGGUGUACACUGCAUCCUUAUUAGCUAUUUUGUCAUAGGGUGCUCUUGUGGAGGUGAUUUGUC
RNAcentral lists this unclassified non-coding RNA (276 nucleotides) under Hevea brasiliensis (rubber tree). Lineage: Eukaryota; Viridiplantae; Streptophyta; Magnoliopsida; Malpighiales; Euphorbiaceae. The record is from RNAcentral.